Molecule: long non-coding RNA, 312 nt
Filed under: Chinchilla lanigera (long-tailed chinchilla)
Lineage: Eukaryota; Metazoa; Chordata; Mammalia; Rodentia; Chinchillidae
Description: lncRNA (ENSCLAG00000027246.1)
Source: RNAcentral
AUGGAAUCUAUUUUAUUGCAAAUUCCUAAUGAAAAAAAGACUCUUAAGCCAGAAACUAUUUGCCUUUUCUCAGUUACUUGCAACCAUAGUGCCUCCAGGAAAAAAAGAUGGAGAAAUGAAUGUAAAAUUUUAUUCAGGGACAACCGAGUUCUUUGUUUCAAUUUGAAGUCAAAAUUCCACCAGAAAAUUUCUUAUUUUUAUGAAACAGCAAGUUUUAGGACCUUUAUUGUUAAAGUCUUGCAACUGAUAAAAAUUAUCCUCCAAUGCUGUGAUAGCCAAACUCUUUCACCUCUCGUUAGUCUACUGCAAUGA